RNAcentral lists this small nuclear RNA (94 nucleotides) under Salvator merianae (Argentine black and white tegu). The record is from RNAcentral. Lineage: Eukaryota; Metazoa; Chordata; Lepidosauria; Squamata; Teiidae.
GUGCUUGCUUCAGCAGCGCAUAUACUAAAACUGGAACAAUACAGAGAAGAUUAGCAUGGCCCCUGUGCAAAAUAAAAAAACUCUGUAAUUUCUA